Peromyscus maniculatus bairdii (prairie deer mouse) is the source of this 4279-nucleotide non-coding RNA. The record is from RefSeq and is a predicted model, not a curated record. Lineage: Eukaryota; Metazoa; Chordata; Mammalia; Rodentia; Cricetidae.
GGGGUGGGGCGGGGUGCAGGUGGAGACAGGUGACUCUUGAGCCAGUCUUUCUAGUUUCUACUGAACCUAUUGUUCCCUUUGGUCCCAAGGAGUCACAGAACGAUGUGGGUUCAUGGAGGCCAUGUGCUCCAUGAUGGCAGACUCAGGUCCCUGGGGCUUGCUCCUUGGGCCCAGCUGCCCGAGACUCCUGCUGAGGCGGUUGCAGGCAGGUUGUUCAAGCGGGCUCACGAGGUGCACUAAGAAAGUGUGUGAGCUGGUUUUCUGUUGCUGUGAAAAACUAUUGGGCAAAAGUAACUGAAGGGAGGGGGGAGGGAGGAAGGGCUGGGAAAUUGUGGCUCAUGUUUGAGGCUACAGUCUAUCACAGUAGGGGAUGCAUGGCGGCAGGAACAUGGGGUGGCUGGUCACACCGCAUCCUCAGCCAGGAAGCAGAGAGAGAUGACUGUUGUGCUUUAACCUCGUCCUCCUUUGGAUUCAGCACAAAAUCCCAGUCCAUGUGAUGAUGCCACCAACAUUUGCACGGGUAUCCCUCAGUUAAAUCUCGUUGGAAACACCCUUACAGACAUACUCAAGAGUUUUGCCUUCUAGGCAAUUCUGAGUCCAGUCAAGUUGAUAAUGAAGAUAAACUACCACAGGAGGAUACCUCAGAGACACACGUCUAUGAUAACAACCUGGCAUCAUAACUCCUGCUUGAGAGCCACAGAACUCGGCUAGCCACCCUGGGAGAGGGCCUGUGUGAUGGAGCCUGCCAACUUCCAUCCAGUCUCAAUAUCCCCAAGCCCGAUGGACUUUGCAUUUCUUCAUGCAAACCUGUUCUGACCCCAGUCUUGGGGUACAUGAUGCUGCACCCUCUGGGAUGACCCUAGUGCACCUGUCUGUAUCUUGAAAAUCAAGCCCAACAUUCUCAGCUGUUGAGCUUAGCAGAAUCUGAUGCGUCUGCCCAGGAAGGCCUCUCUCGGGUGCUCUGCUGGCCUUUGUGUGGACAGGGAUCGAGACACUCUUGCCCCGCUCUGGGCCUUUGGGUUCACAGCUUUUAACCCUUCCUAACCACUCUGCCAUUUCUGGAAGGCACCUGCCAAUUCUCCAAGCCUUCCAUGCUGAGGACCGCUUUGCUCUUAGUUGAAAAGAAGCCUGUUUGAAGACACAUUUUGCAUAUUUGAAUAAGAAAUAUGUUUCAUUUGUUCCCAGACUUGCUGUUUUGAUAAUGAACCACAUUUCUGAAUCAUUUAUAAUUGUGCCUCUGAAAGUCUGGUGGACCAGUCACAUGACUCCCAGGGCCCCCAAUCAUUGACUUAAUUCUAGUGAAGCAAAGCUUGAAGUCAGGACCACCUCCUGUUGCCAAGAACGUUCUUAACUUUGACACUUUAAAAAGCAGCUUUCCAGGCAUGAGGCGCCCGACAGUCACCACCGACCUGAGUGGUUUAUGUUAUUCUGACACCGCCAUAACAUUCUAUGAGGUCAUGGUGCAUUUGAAAGUUUAAGGAACUGAGAGAUCUCGAGUCCUGGGUACAGGGAAGGGACAGCUGAGACUCCUGGGCAAAAACUGGUAUCAGUGUCAGGGCAGGUGAGUGACAUUUCAAUCACGUGUUGUGCCACACCUCUAGUCGUCCUCUAGUCUUGGAGUACCAUCCGGGCUGGGCGUUGAAAGGCUGGUGUUUCCUGUGGCCACACCAUCUUCUCAUGACAACUUUUCUCUCAUUAGCCACUGGAGCCACAGGAGAUCCAGGACCUGGGUGUGGAUCCCCAAGCUAUAGGACAGGACAGGUUUUUAUGGGGCCACAUACAAAUGUCCCAGGGAGGUUGGGGCUUGAGUUUAGACUGUUAUGAGAUGACCAAGACCCCAGCAAAGGUCUGUGUUGAAAGCGACGGCCUCUCUUUUUUGUAACAAAUGACACAAUCUCAUUCUUCUUCAAGACAACAGCACAUACACAUAUAUCUUAUAAAUAUGCUGUAUUUCCUUAUCCAUUCAUCUGCUGAUGGACUGAUUUCAGAACCCAUCCACAGGUACUGUCUGAUUUCACUGUGAUGUUCCGCAAGGGAGGCAGUGGUACAUGGCCACCGCGCUGCAAAGCUGGACCUCAGAGAGCAGCCAGCUGGAGCAUCGUCAUUACCUCAUCAUUACCAGGUCUAGCUCUUGAAACUUCAUGGUAUUGAUCAUUCCCCGGAUCAGAUGCCAACAAAUCAGAAAAUCCUGUCCUAGACUUCUUGACUGAGCUGAAGAUAAAAGUGGCCUCAGCAUGUGGGGAACUAGACAAGAGUCCAGUACAUAGCAGGAGGAGAAUCGGACUGGUUCAGUUUCCCAUCCUCUGGAGAGGAGCAGGACAAAGUGGUUGGUCCUGUUCACCAAGCUCAGCUUCUGUGGGGAGCUAAAGGCCAGCUGCAUUCCCUGCAGUGGGGGUGUCAGCUCCUGCGGGACAAGUUCUGGGAUACCCACACAAUUGUGGGGAUAAGGGCAGAGGCCUGGUCCAGCUGUCCCCGAGGCUGUAGUAAAUAACACCCCAGACUCCCUCUUUCUCUGCCUUGAUAGAACAGUGGGUGCUGCCUGGAUCAACCCAGGCUCCUCAGGCACCUUUUCUAACCUGGAUGACUGACUUAUGCUUCAGACACCAGAAGCAGUGAGCGGUGCCAGGCCUUUGGAAUAUCCAGCCUGUGACGGGAUUUUACUCCAAGGCAAAGAAAAAUAGGAAAUACAGGGACGAAACAAUACACCCAGUGACAACCCCCUGAACUCAUGACAAAUGGUGUCUUGUCGACUCUUCUGGAUAAUCCUCACAGCCAUGACGUGUGGCACCUUCAGAAACCAAGACCUCGGAGAAAUCCUUCCUUUGCGCUGUUCCUCACAGGUGUUUAUUACAGCAAUGAAAAGCCUGAUACAUUUCCAGACAACCGACAUGGUUAUCAAUUGAGAAAAUCGCAACACCACCCCAUCUCCGAGAGGGUAAAGGAACAAGAAACACCAGCAUGGAGCAUGGAGGGUCGGGCCAUCACUUUUUAACACAUCUGCCUAAGCACACAGAGUAGCCUUCUUAUCAACCAGCAAUCCUGCGGUGGGUGAAUGCAUGACCGUGUGUCCAGAAAGCAGGUGCAGCUGUGUAUGUGUCUGCAUUAUUUUGAAUGGAUCAAAGCUGCAGGUGGGAUUGAGAAUACUGCUGCCUCCAUAGACGGCUUGACCUGUGUGCAUCGGGCUCUGGGUUCAAUCUCAAGUCCUAUGAAAAGUCAAAAACCAUCAAGAGUAGAGCAAAUGCCGUGCAGUUUAGGGAACUAGUCUCUAUUAUACACAGGAGUGUGGAGGAGUUUCACCAACGUAUCAUUUCACCGUGCCGAUACCAAGGUGAUUGAUGCUGCAAGACUCCCUAUCCACACCAAGCUUGGAAUUAGUCGGAUCCAGCAUGUCUGGUAGGAGCUGGAAAACAGAUCUCUUUUGUGCUCAGGAGGGAUUAAUGACUACACACUUAUGAUUCAUGCACCUUUCUAUAUGAACAUUAUACUUCAAUUAAAAUCUUAUUUAAAGCAAGCUUUUCCAUGGUGAAUACCGCCCCCCCCCUUGUUUUCAUCUCUGAAUUGAUGAGCAAUCAACACUAGGUCAUCAUCAUCAAACAAACCCAGAAUUCUCCAUCUGCCUCUUCUCCUGGGAGGUUUUCCCCCCCCUCAAUUGCUUCUAUGCAUGAAUGAUAAUGUUAAGUAUUUCAUUUACAUUUGAUAGCAUGGUCCUCACUUUUGAAUAUUUACAUCCAAACUUCUGCUAGUGUGUGGUAUGGAAAGAAUGUUAACUGAAUUUGUUCCCCCCCACCCCCUCGACUAACUUGUUAAUGUCCUACCCAUAAAGAUUCAGCACACAGGGCUAGCACUGCCUGGGAUCUGUGUGGUCCCGACCUCUAAACUUCUGUUAUGAUUACACUCAGUGUGUUCACUGCUGAGUGACUUCUGCAACUGAAGAGUCUUCUCCCACUAUUGUCUUAAUAUUCUUUCCUAUUGAUUAUUCUGAUAACGUUCAAUGAUACUUGAACUCUGUCAAUCUAAAAGAAUUGUGUCAAUAGCCAUUCCACCGUUUGUAACGUAUUAGUAUCAUUAUAGCCUUGAGUCUUUGAGUGUCUGGAAUAGUUUCCAUGUUUGCUAACUUUAAUUGCUGUUCUCAUGAUACUGUUGCACUGGUCUGUGAGCCUGACCACCAGGCUGUUCUGUUUCUGCAGUCUGGCUCCUGUGUGAUGAUCACAAGCAUCCUGUAAACACUGCACUGUUGGGGGCUUACAGGUGAUUUUCCAAUAAACUUUCUAGUAUACUA